Eubalaena glacialis (North Atlantic right whale) is the source of this 1342-nucleotide long non-coding RNA. RefSeq lists it as uncharacterized. The record is from RefSeq and is a predicted model, not a curated record. The transcript is spliced from 6 exons. Lineage: Eukaryota; Metazoa; Chordata; Mammalia; Artiodactyla; Balaenidae.
GCGGGAGGGGAGGGAGGGCGGGCGGUGUGCUGGGUUCGCGCGGCCUCGGGGCCGGAGCCCGGAUACCCGCCCGCCCCAGCGCCCGCCGCCGGCCGAGCUCCGCCCCGCGCGUCUCCAUCGUGGGUCGCAGUGGUCGGAUGUGCGUCCGGGUCUGCGGGACAGGCGGGCGCAGAGGUUCCUUGUAUUGGCGCGGGUGGGUGCGGCGAGGUUCUGGCGCCUCCGCGGAGCAUCGUGGGUCUGGGGCUGUGGGCGCCGCGGAUUGCUAUUCUCUGCGCACUUUCCCGGCUCUGAAGCCUCGAGAACACGGCUAGGCAGCAGUAGUUUAAUGGGGAGUUUGACUGCUGGGAACUAGGGGCCUGCUGGGGUCUCAGUUCUUGGCUGGCCCCGGAACACGAGGUUGCCAGGUGUGUGACGGCAGCAGGUAGGAGUGACCCGCUGGUGCAGUGAUGAGCAAGAAAGUACAGGAAGGACAGCGGCUGUUGGCCUGUGAACCUAGGCAAGAAUGACCAGCCAACACAGUCCAGACCAAGGUCCGUGGGCCCAGCUCGGUCCUGUGCGUCUGGUCAGUGGAAUAGACCUGCAGGUGUGGCUCUUGUCACUCUAGGACUGGCUUCAGGACAGUUUUCUGUCUGCAGAUCCUGCUGAUGCGCCCAGGGCACCGCCCUCAGUUCUCCAGGAGAGCGCGCCGGAGGGGAGCCAGGGGGUGUGCCCGACUCAGCACGGUGGCCACGCACAUCCAGUCUGCUGGCAAGGGCAGUGGGCAGCCGGAGGAAGUCAUGGCCUUGGGAGUGUCCUGUGAUGAAAAAGAACCUGCAGGCUUAUCAGAUAACGUUGGUGUGGAACGUUGGUGUGCUGAAAAGCAGUUCUGUGUGCUUUUCCCCCCUGGUGUGAAUUAGCAGUGCUGAGGCAGCAAGCGGGAUACAGAAGUGUGAGCAGAGACCGUCUGGAAGCCCCAGACUCCAGGGAAACUAAAGGUGACAGCCAGCCUAGUGAAGAGGACGGGAGUUAGGGGCGGGGGCGGCAGCCCAGCAGGGGCCCCUCGUCUCAGGGCUCUAAUCCUGGCUCCAGCCGGCUGGUCAGGGAGCUGCAAGGUCUAAUGGGCGAGCAGAGUCCACAGUCCUGAGCUGUUCUUCUCUGUGUUUGGGUCAUCUCCCGCCAUCCAAGGGGAGAAAUCUAGAUGAGGUUUAAGCAUCAGUGCUUUAAGACUGUGGAUCUCGGAGUUGAAACCUCGGAAGACAUGUUUUCAGCACAGGGUGUUAAAGUGAACGGAAGGAUUCAACCCCUUUUCAAGGAGGGUGUCUCCAUGUGGGCAGAACUAGAGAAUAAAUGGGUCUUGAAUAAA